RNAcentral lists this ribosomal RNA (161 nucleotides) under uncultured freshwater bacterium. RNAcentral's name for it is "partial 16S ribosomal RNA". It matches the Rfam family "Bacterial small subunit ribosomal RNA", at positions 334 to 507 of the family's 1533-position model. The record is from RNAcentral.
GACUCCUACGGGAGGCAGCAGUGGGGAAUAUUGGGCAAUGGAGGAAACUCUGACCCAGCGACGCCGCGUGCGGGAUGAAGGCCUUCGGGUUGUAAACCGCUUUCAGUAGGGAAGAAGCGAAAGUGACGGUACCUACAAAAGAAGCACCGGCUAACUAUGUG